AACACAGCAUCUUCACACACGUUUGGUCGACAUGACAUUCACUAGCAAAAUGAUUUUGUACUUUACGCUCCUCCAACUGCUGAAAUAGGAAUGAUAUGUUUUUAUUAUUGUGAACUUGAAUCACAAAGUCUGGAAAACAUUUUACGUCCUAAAAGCUUGUGCCAUCAUUUUUGAGGUUAUUCCAUAGUCAAUACUUCAUAUUUUCUCAAUUUGCACUCUACUAACAAAGCAAGUACUCAGCUUCUGAGAGAAAAAAAAAUGGCCUAGGUUUACUCAAGAUGGAAGCCCCAGAGAGCUAGAGAACCCAAGACCAUUAGAUAGUGCUUAGGGGAAAAAUGAGGGUGUUCUCUCUGCCUUCUAACAUUGAAAGCAAAUGGAUACUCUGUCAUUAUCACUCAGAGAUUUCUCACUUACUUGUAACUGACUAUCUCAUGCAGAAUGCAUUUAGGAGAAGUAAGUUCCCUCCUAUUUUUAACUAGAAUUACUAGUCUUAAAAAAUCAAUUAUUAUAUUGUGUCAGUUCACUUGUAUAUAAACUUCAAAGUUGAUAGGUUUUGAAAUCGUAUUUCAUAAAAUACAUCAAAAGCUUUAGCAAUGAGAACCUAAUUCUGUGGCUUAGUCCUUCAGGUUUUAACCUCUGGUGAUAUCACUUAAUCGUAAAUUAAUUAUAGUUCAGUGCUUGUUAUUUUUCCAAGUUUUCUAUGUUACUAAACAAGGUUGUUAUAAAUAAGAAUUUUAAAUGGUGGCAUUGAACCUUAUUUCUCUUGUUGAACAAUAUUCUCAUGCUUAAAACAUUAAACUAUUACAGAGCUCGAUAUUAAAAGCCAAAGGUAGUGUGUUCAGACUCCUUCAUGUUAAGGCAUCUAACAAAGCACCCCAGUGAUCUAGAUAAUGCACAGGAAUUGAGAAUUAUCUAAAGCAAUUAUGUGGGAGCUUUAGAAACAGUCUUGAACAUUUGUGUAAGGAUAAUGAUGAGUAGAUAGCAGCCAUGAUUAUCAGGCCUAUUAUUUUUAUUAAUUUCAGAUGUGUCAGCAUCACUUGCAAAAUUCAUUUCUUGUGUAACUUCCUGAUCUGAAAUAAUGGUUACCUCUUGCUUAUUCUUUUGAUCCUUAAAAAAUUUUUACUGUCAUGAAAUACAAAUUAUUAUCUGACCAUAACAGUUUUUCUAAUUUAUGAGCAUAUAAGAUAUAUUUAGGUGGAGUCAGCUGGAGGGAAAGAAAGAGAAAGAAAAAGCCCCCCUAUAGGGAAGCUUUUACUUACAAUGGGAAGAUGAAAAUUAUGUCUGUAGUCCAUCUUUGUUAACCUAAGAGAAAGCUAAAGAUAUUGAUAUGGAUAUAUCAUUAAAGAUUUUUUUUAAAAAAUAAGAAAUAAUACUGAAUGAUAGGUACACCAAAUAAAAUUCAGCAUGUCAAAGCUUUAGAAAACAAAUAAGAAACUUAAUAAAACUGUUAAUUAGAAUGACUAUUUAAAGGAACAAUGACAAAAAUAAAUCAUCAUAUAUAUCUACCAAAGCAGAAUUUGCUUCUGUUUGGAAAAUUUAGUACCAUGUCUUCAAUCAGUAUUUUCUGUGACAAGCUAAGCUCUAGUAUAACCUUUAUGCUAAUGAGAAACCAGGUAGGAAUUCAAAUAUCAUCUGUAUGAGCUGCAGUUGCAUCUUAAAUAUAAUAGGUCUGGUAUCAUUUCUAAAUAACUCUCAAUAAAAGUCUAAUGAAUACAUUGUGUACAAAGAGACUACGUAGGGCAAACUAAUCAGGUCUUUAAAUACAUUGGCACUUUAAACUCCUGUAUGCCCCUCUCUCCUUUCUAACUCCAGUCCUUCUAUUCUUUCCUAUUUCACUUUAUUCUGUCUUUUCUGUCUCUAUUUCUUAACAGCUCUUAUAAAGUGCAUGGCAAUAUUGUUUUACUCUUUGAGCUGAGGCUUUUCCUUUUCACAUUUACAUGACUGAAUAUUAUAGACCUGUGAGGUAAGGAGGUAAAAGUUAGAACAUAGUACAGAUCAUUUGAAAAGAGAAGUGACUGUGAAUUUGGAUCUUGACUGCUGAGGGCUUUGUCAUACAAGAGAAAGUGGAUCUAUGCAAACUUCUUUGCUCUCUCCUGGGAAGUAUCAGAAUCAACAUUUUAAAGCUCCUGCCCAUUGCCCCUGCAAGUCUUCAUUCAGAAAAUCCUCUUCUAGCUUAAUCUCUAAUUUUUCAUUAGAUUUGAGAAUCACACUGCUAAAGAUUGAGAUAGAAAAGCCUUUUCUCAAAUCUGCUUUUAGAAUCAUAGGUACAUGAAAUGCAAGUUGAUUUUACUGGACCUUUAGAUGUAAGGGAUACACUACCAAACUUCUUGGGUACUGUUACAUGAGUCAGAUAGUUCUGUUAUAGUGUUUCUAGAUCUUGAAGUGUCUGACAAAAUUCAACAUAGAAUUUAUAUCUACCCUGCUGAGAAAGCAAUAAGUAGCAUUCUCCAUGUUUCUUAGCUCUACCCUUUUAAAAUUUUAACACAUUUACAUGUAACUUUUUAAGCACAGCUUUGACUUAUUUUCUAGAAUUAAUGAAUUUCCAUGGUUUGAAAUAAAAAGACCUAAUUUUGAUAUUUCAUAUUGUUAUAGCAAAGGAUUUAUGUAUCUCAAUCCAAGCCAUUUAUUUUUCAGGGAAAAUUAGAUAAUGCCUAGCAAAGUAUUUGAUUUAUAACAGAAAGUAAUUCAAAUAUCUUAAGUGUACUAAAAAAGAAGGCAAAAAUGGAAUUCUAGGAAAUACAUCUAAUCAUUUUAAUUUUCUUCAAUUGAAAUGUCUUAUAUGUUAUGUCACUGUAUAAAUAUUAUAUUCAAAUAUCCAUAGAAUACCUUUGUUUGUAUUCUCUAGUGGUAUAUGAGUGUUAUUAUUUUUUUUCUAUUUAGAAAGAUAUAUUUUCAAAAUCAACAUUGUAUACCUGGUAUUUCUGACCUGGGGAUGUAAUAAGUGCCCCAUCUGGGAACUACCCUCCUCAAUGCAACCUUUUACUUUUCAGUUCUGAUUUUUAAUUAUAUCCUUUAUCAGAAGUCUUAAAUUCAUAUCAAAGAAAAGAAGAAGUAUAUAAGUUCCAAACAAAUAAACACCCCCCAAACAGCAACACAUUUCUUUGUCAUCUUCUAUAUAUCCCAUUCUUUACACUUAAUUUCUGAGAUAGGUGCAUAUUUACCAUCUAAAUUGAAACUUAAGUGAACACUUUUUGUGUUUUCUUAUAAUUUUCCUAAUUAAGUAUAGCCAAUCUUACAACUUAAUCAGGUAAAUAAAUGAAUAACUUUAAUU
Molecule: long non-coding RNA, 3271 nt
Filed under: Mus musculus (house mouse)
Lineage: Eukaryota; Metazoa; Chordata; Mammalia; Rodentia; Muridae
Description: long non-coding RNA chr9:3900745-3904016
Source: RNAcentral